UGCUGCCACAACCACAGUGCUCAGGCAGCCUCAUCCUCUCCCUUGUCUCUCACCUGCCCUUUUGUGGGCUCCUGAGAAAGCUCCAUGUCAGCAGCAGGUUUGGGGUCUGUCUGUGUGUGUGAGCUCUGCAGUCAAGCCUAGAAAAUGUAACUGCAUCUCAACUAACUGCAUAGCCAGUGGUAAGAAGCUGGAUCAUCUUUCUUCAUCUCCUCACUGUCUUCCCAGAAUUUGAAAGUGUGACAAAGUAUUUCAUCCCUUUACAGGAUUAGGGAUGCGGAUUUGUCUCUGACUGAGGUGCUGCUGACUGGUUCACUGCCUGGUAGACGGUGUCUCUUAAGACCUGAUUUAACCUGAAGCAUACACUUUCUCAGGAGGUCUGCAACAGGGCUGAAGAAUUGCAAAUGUUGCAUCCUUUCCCUCCUGUCAUUUGCUUCCACACGACUGCAGUGCCUGUACUGUGCUCUCAGCUCACUCACCCUGAAAUUCUCCUUGUGUUGGAGAUUUGUACUGAGUUGGUACAAAGUGGACUUUGCUUUUGGUGGCAGUAUCCCUUGUUGCCGUGUCAUUCACGGAGAAGAUGGGUUUAUUCCACUGGUACCAGCUGCUCUACACACAGGAACCAAAAGUGGCAAAUCUACAUCCUCUUUCAAUUUUCAAUUGAAGGUCUACACCACAGGAACUUCUUGGGGUUUUUGGAGAGGUAAAGAUUUUUAAAAAAAAAAACCACCACGUUGAACCCAAGUUGGAGAAACAACUGCAUCAUGUGGCUGAUACAGUGCAUGGGAGUACAAAGCAUUCCCAUUCCAUCUGGUCUUGCACAUCCACUCCCCCUAGCUAUUAAAUGUGAUAGCUGUUAGGCAUGAGUGUAGACCCGGAGAUGGGCAGGACUAGUCUGCUAUGCAAACAGUUAUCUGAUGGCCCCAUCCUAUUUUCUAGAAAAAAAAGAUUUCACUGUGGUAAAGUGGACAUCUUAAAGCAUUGUAGGAGAUAGGGGGAUGUAACUGCACUUACCUGAGUUUGGAUUAGGCAUAUCUCACGUCUUAGAGUUUGCCAGUAAAUAACAAAGUAUAUGAUCAAUGGAAAUAUGACCUUCCCAAUCUGCAACUACAAAAAAGAAAAGGACAGUCUUGAAAAUCCAGCAAUCUUUCAAAUCAUCUUAAAGCAUAUUGACCCUGAAUCAUCACAGUGAAAUUCAAUAGGGGUGUUCCUAUUAGUGAUCUAAGAAUAUAGAUGUGGUUGAAUGCAUGGAAAACUGUAUCUUGUUCCAGUUAUCUUUAUUACUGUAAUAAAUGAUACUAACUCUCUCUCCCUACA
Molecule: long non-coding RNA, 1314 nt
Organism: Harpia harpyja (harpy eagle)
Lineage: Eukaryota; Metazoa; Chordata; Aves; Accipitriformes; Accipitridae
Exons: 3
Source: RefSeq, a predicted model, not a curated record